AAUAAGUGCAGUCACAAGUUUCCGCGCCUAACUUUGAUCGUCCGUCUUAUUUGAAUUUUUUUAUAAUUAGCAUUUUUGUUGUUAUUAGAUGAUAAAACCAUGAAUAAUACUUUACUCGUGACUUAUAUUUUUAAUUUUUUUAAUUUUUUUUAAAUAAGACGAAUGAUCAAAGUUAGGCGCGAAAAACCAUUGUAUUGCUGAUG
Oryza sativa Japonica Group (Japanese rice) is the source of this 203-nucleotide microRNA precursor. It matches the Rfam family "MIR812 microRNA precursor family". NCBI's taxonomy places the organism in Eukaryota, Viridiplantae, Streptophyta, Magnoliopsida, Poales, Poaceae. The record is from Rfam.